GCCUUAGUAGCGCAGCUAACGCGUGAAGUUGACCGCCUGGGGAGUACGGUCGCAAGAUUAAAACUCAAAGGAAUUGACGGGGACCCGCACAAGCGGUGGAUGAUGUGGAUUAAUUCGAUGCAACGCGAAAAACCUUACCUACCCUUGACAUGUCUAGAAGGCCGAAGAGAUUUGGCUGUGCUCGCAAGAGAACUGGAACACAGGUGCUGCAUGGCUGUCGUCAGCUCGUGUCGUGAGAUGUUGGGUUAAGUCCCGCAACGAGCGCAACCCUUGUCAUUAGUUGCUACGAAAGGGCACUCUAAUGAGACUGCCGGUGACAAACCGGAGGAAGGUGGGGAUGACGUCAAGUCCUCAUGGCCCUUAUGGGUAGGGCUUCACACGUCAUACAAUGGUCGGGACAGAGGGUAGCCAACCCGCGAGGGGGAGCCAAUCCCAGAAACCCGAUCGUAGUCCGGAUCGCAGUCUGCAACUCGACUGCGUGAAGUCGGAAUCGCUAGUAAUCGCGGAUCAGCAUGUCGCGGUGAAUACGUUCCCGGGUCUUGUACACACCGCCCGUCACACCAUGGGAGUGGGUUUUACCAGAAGUAGUUAGCCUAACCUUCGGGGGGGCGAUUACCACGGUAGGAUUCAUGACUGGGGUGAAGUCGUAACAAGGUAGCCGUAUCGGAAGGUGCGGCUG
Molecule: ribosomal RNA, 679 nt
Filed under: Vigna radiata var. radiata (mung bean)
Lineage: Eukaryota; Viridiplantae; Streptophyta; Magnoliopsida; Fabales; Fabaceae
Description: bacterial SSU rRNA
Rfam family: Bacterial small subunit ribosomal RNA
Source: RNAcentral